UAGGGAAUCUUCGGCAAUGGACGAAAGUCUGACCGAGCAACGCCGCGUGAGUGAAGAAGGUUUUCGGAUCGUAAAACUCUGUUGUUAGAGAAGAACAAGGACGUUAGUAACUGAACGUCCCCUGACGGUAUCUAACCAGAAAGCCACGGCUAACUACGUGCCAGCAGCCGCGGUAAUACGUAGGUGGCAAGCGUUGUCCGGAUUUAUUGGGCGUAAAGCGAGCGCAGGCGGUUUCUUAAGUCUGAUGUGAAAGCCCCCGGCUCAACCGGGGAGGGUCAUUGGAAACUGGGAGACUUGAGUGCAGAAGAGGAGAGUGGAAUUCCAUGUGUAGCGGUGAAAUGCGUAGAUAUAUGGAGGAACACCAGUGGCGAAGGCGGCUCUCUGGUCUGUAACUGACGCUGAGGCUCGAAAGGGUGGGGAGCAAACAGG
RNAcentral lists this ribosomal RNA (429 nucleotides) under Gemmatimonadota bacterium. RNAcentral's name for it is "Gemmatimonadetes bacterium partial 16S ribosomal RNA". It matches the Rfam family "Bacterial small subunit ribosomal RNA", at positions 355 to 776 of the family's 1533-position model. Lineage: Bacteria; Pseudomonadati; Gemmatimonadota. The record is from RNAcentral.